CCAAUAGCGUAUAUUAAAGUUGUUGCAGUUAAAAAGCUCGUAGUUGAAUUUCGGGGUCAGUAGGUCGGUCGUGCCACUGGUAUGAACUGGUUUUACUGAUUCCUCCCUCUUGAAGAACUGUAAUGCCAUUAAUUUGGCGUUGCAGGGAAUCAGGACUGUUACUUUGAAAAAAUUAGAGUGUUUAAAGCAGGCUUUAGCUUGAAUACAUUAGCAGGGAAUAAUGAAAUAGGACGUUUGAUCCUAUUUUGUUGGUUUCUAGGAUUGACGUAAUGAUUAAUAGGGAUAGUUGGGGGCAUUAGUGUUCAAUUGUCAGAGGUGAAAUUCUUGGAUUUAUUGAAGACUAACUACUGCGAAAGCAUUUGCCAAGGAUGUUUUCAUUAAUCAAGAACGAAAGUUAGGGGAUCGAAGACGAUCAGAUACCGUCGUAGUCUUAACCAUAAACUAUGCCGACUAGGGAUCGGAUGAUGUUAAUUUUUUAAUGACUCAUUCGGCGCCUUACG
This 500-nucleotide ribosomal RNA is filed under the name uncultured Glomeromycotina. Its description in RNAcentral is "partial small subunit ribosomal RNA". It matches the Rfam family "Eukaryotic small subunit ribosomal RNA", at positions 591 to 1092 of the family's 1831-position model. The record is from RNAcentral. Lineage: Eukaryota; Fungi; Glomeromycota.